This 232-nucleotide ribosomal RNA is filed under the name uncultured bacterium. RNAcentral's name for it is "partial 16S ribosomal RNA". It matches the Rfam family "Bacterial small subunit ribosomal RNA", at positions 524 to 754 of the family's 1533-position model. The record is from RNAcentral.
UACGGAGGGUGCGAGCGUUAAUCGGAAUUACUGGGCGUAAAGAGUGCGUAGGUGGUUAAUUAAGUUAUCUGUGAAAAUCCCUGGGCUUAACCUGGGCAGGUCAGAUGAUACUGAUUGACUCGAGUAUGGGAGAGGGUAGUGGAAUUUCCGGUGUAGCGGUGAAAUGCGUAGAGAUCGGAAGGAACACCAGUGGCGAAGGCGGCUACCUGGCCUAAUACUGACACUGAGGCAC